This is a long non-coding RNA of Zingiber officinale, 291 nucleotides long. RefSeq lists it as uncharacterized. Lineage: Eukaryota; Viridiplantae; Streptophyta; Magnoliopsida; Zingiberales; Zingiberaceae. The record is from RefSeq and is a predicted model, not a curated record. The transcript has 2 exons.
GUAUAUUUAUAGGCAAAAGGAUACAUAUAUAACGCAACUUGUGCACUUGCCUUCAAAUUACAUUCAAGCAUAUUAAAAUCUGAAUUUGGAGUCAUCAAAGAUUUUGCUGCUUGGAGUCCACUCUGCUUUGCAUCAUGACUAUAUUUGCAAGUAUUGCUAAAGUAAUUUCAAGCGAGGGUUCCAUAUUUGCUGGAAACUGACAAGGCUACAGUGGAAAUGGAGUGCAUGGAAGAAGGAUAUCUUGCCAAGAUAAUACAUGGAGAUGGGUCCAAAGAGAUAAAAGUUGGUGAG